Schistosoma mansoni is the source of this 45-nucleotide non-coding RNA. The record is from Rfam. NCBI's taxonomy places the organism in Eukaryota, Metazoa, Platyhelminthes, Trematoda, Strigeidida, Schistosomatidae.
ACCCGGCUGACGAGUCCUAAAUAAGACGAAACAUACGUCCUGGAU